CGUAGGGCGCAAGCGUUGUCCGGAAUUAUUGGGCGUAAAGAGCUCGUAGGCGGCUUGUCACGUCGGGUGUGAAAGCCCGGGGCUUAACCCCGGGUCUGCAUUCGAUACGGGCUAGCUAGAGUGUGGUAGGGGAGAUCGGAAUUCCUGGUGUAGCGGUGAAAUGCGCAGAUAUCAGGAGGAACACCGGUGGCGAAGGCGGAUCUCUGGGCCAUUACUGACGCUGAGGAGCGAAAGCGUGGGGAGCGAACAGGAUUAGAUACCCUGGUGGUCCACGCCGUAAACGGUGGGAACUAGGUGUUGGCGACAUUCCACGUCGUCGGUGCCGCAGCUAACGCAUUAAGUUCCCCGCCUGGGGAGUACGGCCGCAAGGCUA
Molecule: ribosomal RNA, 373 nt
Filed under: uncultured organism
Description: bacterial SSU rRNA
Rfam family: Bacterial small subunit ribosomal RNA
Source: RNAcentral